UCAAGGAGAUUGAAGUACACCACAAAGCACUGACAAUGUAAUUGUACACCUUAUAUUAGAUGGAUGCUAUUUCACUAACCUUUCCAUAAGAUUUUCAAAUUGAAGAGCUAAAAGGAACCAUAGGAAUCAUUUACUGGACUGUCCUCAUGGUGUGAAUGAAGCAAGGUUUGGAGAGGCUAAAUGAUCAUCCAGCAGCUCGAGAUCUUGAUAAUACAAACAAUGCUGGAAUAAAUGUAAUGAAGGAAGGAAAGGCUUCUACCUGACUUCUGGAAACAGUUUCCAUUUCAUCAUCUUUUGUGUCUGCACCUCAGUGUGAUAAUUUGAAGGCAGCAUGUGCAGGAGUUUAACUAUCUAUAUCUAUAUUCUAGACUCAAAGGGCAUGUGAAAUAAAUACCCUGUUUUACUGCCUUCAACUUUUAGCCCGCAUCCUCAUGAACCAAACAUGAAAAAAAUAAAAGAGAAGUCAAAACAGUGCA
Long non-coding RNA from Suricata suricatta (meerkat), 476 nucleotides. RefSeq lists it as uncharacterized. The record is from RefSeq and is a predicted model, not a curated record. The transcript is spliced from 3 exons. Lineage: Eukaryota; Metazoa; Chordata; Mammalia; Carnivora; Herpestidae.